CGGCCAGUUCGGGGACGGCGGCACGCCCGUCCUUCGCGAGGACGUCCAGCAACCGCUGAUCGGCCGCGGUCGGUUCCAUCCGGACGCCGCCCGU
This 94-nucleotide transfer RNA is filed under the name Streptomyces abikoensis. RNAcentral's name for it is "tRNA-Ala". The record is from RNAcentral. Lineage: Bacteria; Bacillati; Actinomycetota; Actinomycetes; Kitasatosporales; Streptomycetaceae.